UCUUAUAAAGAGCGGCUGAGGGACUGGCCCUGCGACGCCCGGCAACCAUUCAUAUACCCAUAUGAACAGGUGCUAAAUCCUGCAAAAUACUUUUUGGUAUUUUGAUAUAUGAG
This 113-nucleotide non-coding RNA is filed under the name uncultured Cytobacillus sp. RNAcentral describes it as "SAM riboswitch (S box leader)". It matches the Rfam family "SAM riboswitch aptamer (S box leader)". From Rfam's summary of the family: The SAM riboswitch is found upstream of a number of genes which code for proteins involved in methionine or cysteine biosynthesis in Gram-positive bacteria. The SAM riboswitch acts at the level of transcription termination control. The predicted structure consists of a complex stem-loop region followed by a single stem loop terminator region. The record is from RNAcentral. Lineage: Bacteria; Bacillati; Bacillota; Bacilli; Caryophanales; Bacillaceae.